Molecule: non-coding RNA, 1557 nt
Organism: Coturnix japonica (Japanese quail)
Lineage: Eukaryota; Metazoa; Chordata; Aves; Galliformes; Phasianidae
Source: RefSeq, a predicted model, not a curated record
CGGACCCAAUCCCUACGGCAGCGCUCGCCCCGCUCCGCUCGGAGGCAGCGCUUGGGGCGAGCAUCCCGGCGGGCUCGUCAAUCCGUGGCGGCCAGGGGUUACGGAGAGGAAUUACGAAGUAGCUCCAGGCUCCGGGAGCCCUACUGCUGCAUCGGUCUCUGCGCUCGAGCUGCGGCGAGCUCCGCCGGCAUCGUUUACUUUCUGCUGCAGAGAGAGGAAUAAAACACAGAUCAUCUCCAUCUUCAAGGCAGCGCCUUCAUCGCGGGCGAGGAACAGCAGCCAAAGCAGCCCCGGCAGCAUCCGGCGGGGGAGCGGGAGAGAGCCUCCCGGAACGCCGCCCCAUGCGCCCGCUCCGCCGGGCACCGGCGCCCCUCGGGCGGAGGAAAGGACCCCCCCGGCGGGGCCGCCGGGAGGGAAUUUAAAAACAACAGCAAAAAAGGGGGGAAAAAAUAAAAUAAAAAGGAGGGGGAGAAGAGAGCGAGGGAAGGAAGCAGGGAGAGCUGGAAAGCGGAGCGCUGCUUCCCUCUUUCCCUUGCCAGGUUGCUCGAGGAUGUCCAGGAAAACGAUGCCCAGGGCACGCGAGAGGCCGGUCCGAAGGGGCAGAGCAGAAGCAGGAGCCGGGCCGGCCCAGCGCCGUUCCCAGAAAGGGGAUUCCUUUGUUCAGCAGGAACCGCCGGAGUCCCGGGCUGCCCCGAGUGCUGCCAACUGGGGCCAACUUGGGAGAGCCUCACCCGCCCUCCUCCUCCCGAAGAGGCUCUGGCCGCAGCCCCAGGAGCGAACGGGGGAAAGAGGAGGUGGAGGGAAAAAAGGAGGGGGAGCAAAGAGGGGGGGCUAGGAGCCAGCUGCUGAAAGAGGGAGGGAGGGAUAGGUAUUGUCUUCUCCAAAUCUUGUCUUCUAAGGAGGGAAUUGUUGUAAUUAAUCAGAUCCAGGAGGGGUUGGUUGUUGGGUUGUUUUUUUUUCCCGUUUUUUUUUUCUCCUCUUUUUUUUUUUUUUUUUUUUUAAUUUUAUUUUUUUAAAGCUUCUCCCAAUUGCUCUCCCAGCUGUACGGCAUCACCCCAGCCAGCCUGAAGGGAGCAGCAGGCGAGGAGCAGCCCCACCGCGCACACCGCGGCUCAGCUCGGCUUUCCCCGCCGCCUCUUUCUCCCUUCCAAACUUUCCCCGAUGUUGCGCGCUGGGCUCUGCCGGGUGCUUCUCCUCCGCGCACCGCGCAGUCGAUUUGCAGCUGCAGAGGUCUCCGAGCCGCUCCCCUCGACGGCUGCCGCGGGGGUUGCAGCUGAAAGGGAACCGCCGAGGAGGGUCACGGAGGCGGAGGAAGUUGAUUUGCUCCCGCCAGGCGCCGGUGAAGCGCUCGCACAAAGUUGCCCGGAGCAGCUCCGGGCGCUCCUCUGCGCUCCGCCGACCCCGACGGUGCGUCCGGGGGCGGCGCGCCCCGUGCUCCGCUCACCCCUCCCUGCCCGCUGGCUCUGCCGAACGUGCCGUCUUUUCCUUCCCUUCGGCUUUCCAGGUUUUCCCCCUCCCCUCUUCACCAUUUCAUUCCCCUACGGUUAUGGAGAAGAG